GAGUUUGAUCCUGGCUCAGAACGAACGCUGGCGGCAUGCCUAACACAUGCAAGUCGAACGAGACCCCUAACUUCGGUUGGCGGGUCUAGUGGCGCACGGGUGCGUAACGCGUGGGAAUCUACCCUUGGGUUCGGAAUAACAGCGAGAAAUUGCUGCUAAUACCGGAUGAUGACGUAAGUCCAAAGAUUUAUCGCCCAAGGAUGAGCCCGCGUAGGAUUAGCUAGUUGGCGAGGUAAAGGCUCACCAAGGCGACGAUCCUUAGCUGGUCUGAGAGGAUGAUCAGCCACACUGGGACUGAGACAC
This 303-nucleotide ribosomal RNA is filed under the name uncultured alpha proteobacterium 58ev. RNAcentral describes it as "bacterial SSU rRNA". It matches the Rfam family "Bacterial small subunit ribosomal RNA", at positions 9 to 327 of the family's 1533-position model. The record is from RNAcentral. Lineage: Bacteria; Pseudomonadati; Pseudomonadota; Alphaproteobacteria.